AAAUAUGAUUGCAAAUAAAAUACAUCGAUUUGUAUUUAUUUUAUUUAUGUUAGUUUGUUCUAACCUGGCUAAAUGACUUUCAUUUAGAGGAUAACUAUUUUUCAAAUAUGUUGUUAUAAAGUAUACAAGGAAAUACGAUAAGAGUUUAAUCGUGCAGGGCCGACUACGUGAGAUAUGACACGAAAUAGGAUGGUGCAUCAAGAAGCGAUAGAAGUAGCAGGGGGUGAGUGAUGGAAACUAGAGAGGAGGAGAAUAUAUACCCUUGAGAUAGCACUUAUGUUGUAUUUGCACGUGUCAUAAAUAUUUUAUAUCAUCGCAGAAAAAGACGAUAAUUUUGCUGAAACCUGUUAUAUCUGCGUACAUCUCGUCAAACGUACGUAGGAAAGAGUUACCAAAUGCGUACCACUUAUUAUAUUUUCCAUUUGGUACCGAUUUGUGCGCAAAUAAAUAUUGGAAAUUGUAGCUUGAUGUUUCACCUAUUACAAUGUUAAUAGUAAGAACGUCGAAAUAAAACACAUUAAAAGGUUUUUACAAUUAAGAUAUUUCCAUGCAGCUUUGAUUGUAAAUAGUUGCAAUUUUCUCAUGGGAGAUUUUAAAAUUUUAUUUGAAGAAUUAUAAAUAUUUGUGUGUGUAAAUUUUAUUUGUGAUAAUAAAGCUACAUUUUAAUUUUUUUCCCCAAUCAGUCUGGUUGCUAUAAUUUUUCGUUUCCGUUCCUCAUUCAUUUUUGCUUGCGGCUACUCCCAUCUGAUAUCAUAGUGUUGCUGAGGGAUAAAGAAUGAAAAAUUAUUGUGACCCUUCGAGAAACCCUUCGGGCAACACCGGUAACGAUAUAAGAAUGACGAGACUGUUUCGUCCCGUAGGCCACUAGAGAGACAUUGUACGAUAAACCCAUCGCGCCCUUGCCGAAAGAAAAUUGAUUUUGGAUUUAUUCGAUGACGUCAAUGUCCGAUAGGCGCUUCCACGGGAAUAAUGACACUCUCGUGGCGCCGAUGUCUUUGAUAUUACUGACAAUGAAAGAAACCUGAUAUAUCGAUCGCGAGGCGAAAGCACGACUCGUUAAUGAUACUAGAUCCGGUAAUUUUUGCUAUUAAUCGUAAAGUAACAUGUUAUUAAAAAAACAUGUUAUUAAAAAAAGAUCUUCUCAGUAAUGUCAUAAUUUUUUUUCGUUAUUUGUUUCACAUUAAUGCUAUAUAUUAGAUCUGCGUAGGACUUUCUGGAUGACGUUAAUAUCGUUAAUAGUCUCGAACUUCGCGCUUGGUAGAUAUCAUUGGAUUUAUUUGCGAAGCUGGGUGAAUCGUCUAAAAUUUUUAUUAAUUCAGAUCUAGUUGAUGAAAUAUUAUAAUAUUGUUGAUGCCGAAUAAAAUACGAAUAUAUAAGAUUAUGAGACAUUUACAAGUUAUUACUCUUUUCAACGACGAAGAAGCCAUUAAGUGCUCUUUCGCCCUAUUUAUACCGUAAAGGUUGCUUUGCGUUUUAUUGUUGACGUCGUGUUUGUUUUGCCGGUAAGGGACGCCCUUUUUGCUCCGUUAAGGUGCGGCUUUUUAUCAUUACACAACGGGUGCGAUGCGCCUAUCUUGGCGCGCAGUCUCGUCACACGUGUCACACCCUAUACCUUCUUCUGGGAUGCGCUGAACGGAUAAAGGGACUUCGACGUGCAUCCAUAAUAGGCGGAUCGCAUCCUGUAAAAGCGGCGCAUCGUAAAGUCGCAAUUAGCCAACAGCGUGUUGUACCAAGCACGUGAAUUAACUGUAAUUCAGGACGCGUUUCUAAAUCGGAUUAAACGAGGCGAAUCAUGAAAGCACGAGUUUUUAUCACACCCACCUCCCAUAAUUCAGUAAUCUACGUUGUAAUAUGUACUUGCAACGCGGCUCACGGGAGAAUAAGGACGCGUUUUAGUGCAAUCCCGACAAACAAGUUUUGAUACAUGGUUAACGAAGUGAAAUUCGUGCGGAUAUGACAGUCAAGAUGUAAAUUCUAAACAUUGCAAUUCCUUUUUUUAAAUUUCGGCAAAGGCCUUAGGAACUUUAAUGUCUUGCAUCUGUGCGGUAAUAAAAAUUAGAUUUAAGAAAAUUAUGCCGGCAUAAUUGCACUGACGGAACAUUAAUGUUGCCAUUUAAUGGCAAUUAAAGUGGAAAAUUCAAUUUUUUACAUUUUUAGUAGGUCGCUCUAUCUUUCAUAGCGAACUUAUUAAAAUUAAUACACGGCAGACCUAUAAGAUACAUUAGUGGCCAAAAUUAGUUCUCUCGUUUAGUCCUUUUUUUUCUUUGAAUCUAUACGAUGUUCUGUAAAUUUAUCAAUAUUUAAUCACAGAAAAGAAAUUAAACGUACACUCUUUGACAAAAAAGUUACAGGUUUAGACCUGUGCGUAACUUUUUUUGUCAAAGAAUGUACGUGGCACUUUUUAUCGUUCACUUUUAUCGUCUCCUAUAAAAAUAUCGCUUUAUAGUCGUGAAUUCGAAUUUAGGAGUAAUUCGAGCCGCGGUAAGCGUCCGUGAAACGGAGCGUAUCAAUUAUAGGCAAUUCGGCAUUUUAUCCGACGGCGACAACGAUUUUAUUGUACUUCCUGCCCGCCGCGUACGGCGAUUUCAUUUUUGAUCACGGUGUCCCCCCCCCCUUUUCCCAUUCCUCCCGUUUCUCUUCAUUUUUUUCACUAGCGAAUAAAAUCCGGUAAGAGCGAACGGAUAUCGAUUCUACGGCGGUGGCACCGCCCCAGUUCGCGGGCGUGGUGUAUAGGCCGCUUAUAACGGUCCUCCUUCUCUGACGGCACCGGCCGCUGAUUCUCCGUACGGUUAGCCGCAAUUCCCACAGCCGAGCCGGUAUAUAAGAGGCAACCCUGUGGGCCGGUUUCGAGCCCAGCGAUCGUUUACGCGUGAAGCGGGGUGCCGUUUUCGCGGUCGAUGCGACAACGACGCGACGACGUCGGAUUCACAACGCGUCGCGACACCCCCGUGGGACUCGGGGUGCGCACCGUGAGCGCUCUCACGUGAGACGCUUGCCGAAUAUGUAUGCUCUGUUAUAAAAUAACACGCCGAGGGAUGCACGCGUGUUCGCGCGAAUCAUGCGUAAUGGAACGAUCGUGUUUUUCACAGCCGCUUGCGACUGCAGAUACGUAGAUUAAAGAAUUUUCACGCGCGAAUGCGAUAUUCACUUACGUAAUAUCUAAUAUGCCAUUUUGUGGUGAAUGUGAAAAAAAUCCAAAACGCGAGAAAUAAAAAUUCAUCGAUCAACUUUCAACGCAGCUUAAUCAUGGUCUCGUUUUCCAUAGAUAAAACUUUAAAGACUUGCAAUCUAGAAAGAUAGUGAUUAAAAAAAAUUAUUCAAUAUUUAAAAAAUAAGGUCUGAAAAAAUUAGCGACAUGAAAUUAAGUCUUUGAUCGUCCAACGCAGCGAUACAACACGUUAUUCUCUUUACUCGUUAAAGCAUGAGAAACACCAUCAGUUUCUCUAUAAAGGAAGGGCCGCGUUUAUUUUAUCGAUCGCGAUCGUGCAGCAACGCGUUAUGGGCGCGGUCUCAAUGAAGGAUCAACUCGACGCAACGACUUUUAUGUCGUCGAACUUUCCAGCCCAAGCUACCCGUCGAAGAGGCUAAUUAUGGCGAAAACUUUUUAACGACUCCAGUUCGACAAACAACAAGGAGUAUUUCCGCUACAAAAAAUAUCGUCUCGUUCACGACAUGUUAAUGCAAAUAGUGAACGCGGAGAAGGGGCAAGGGGAAGGGUGAAAAUUUUCGAUCCACGUCCGCGAUAGGGAGUUAAAUCGAAACUUUAUUGCCUAUUUCACAGCAACAGUUUUCUUGCCUGUUGUUUUUCAAUCUCUUUUGUUUCGUUUAAUAAAUCUCUCUCGUGUGCAUCAGACGAGCGCGCCACAGUCGCUCGCAAAGACCUGUCGACGGGACCUGUCAAUAAUAAACACUCAGCGGAGUCGCUGUUAAUUACAAAUUAGACCGUUACGAACGGAUUUAAUGAAGUUCGGGAAGAACGGCGACCUCGUUAAGUUCGCAGGGUGCGCAGGCGGCACGCACUUGAGCGUCAAUGUAAGGCGAACGCGGCGACGCUAAGCCACUCUGCAGCGUUGCACCGAGGAUGCUCGCCGCGACGAGUAAAGUAUUGAUUUCGGAAGGCAUCGCCCGUAGCAUUGCCGCAGUACUUUCCAGAAGAAAUUGGUUCCUUCCGAUUAACUUAAUUUCGCGAGACGUCCAAUGGCUCCUGGAACCGACACCCCGAUUGCCUCUAACGGUUUCGGCUGCUGCAUACUCAACAUCCGUAUCACGUAUACAUGAUGUUUUCACCGGAACUCUCGUCUCGUUUACAACGAAAUACGAAGAACAGGGAAAUAGUGAAUUCCUGUAAAAGAGAAGUCUCGGGCGACUCGGUAUGGAAAAUUCGAAUACGUGCCGGGAGCCAAUCUAUCCAAAAGAAGAAAGAAAGAACGAAUAGCUGAGAGGAAUGCUACGGGGAAGGAUAUUGCGUCGUCGUUGAUUCUCGCGACAGAGGAACAGACACUGACGACAGGAGGAAAAAAUCAACAAUUUCAAUACAUUUUUUGUCGUAGAUUGAAAUCAUUUUUAAUCCAGAAUAACAAAAUGAGAGAAAAAAUGAAGACGCAUCAUUGUAUUAUUAUAUGUUGAAUAUCGAGAUAUAGUAUAUGCGUUGAAAAAUUUUGUAAGCUUCUUUUAAAAAUGUGUGUGUGUGUGUUGUAACGACAAAUUUUAAAAAAUAUAUUUAAAGAAAAUCUUUAUCUACUUUAAUAUUUUAUAUUUACGAUAUUCGAGAUAGAUGAACUUAUUUUUAUCCUGGAUAUAUUUUGAUGCUGCUUCAAAGUAUAUUAUUGUCAUGCUUGUAGAACACAAUUUUAUAUUUAUGUGUCUUUCUUAUUCGAAAGAACGAUAUGGGUCUAUGGAAUGUGGAACUAUGAGAAAAAUGUCCAUAACGUAAAGAAAAUAAGAUGUCUUACCGUGGAAGGAGAAUGUUUGUCCUCUUCGAGUUGUCAUACGUUUGAAAAUAUUCAAUAAAGUUCACUAUGUCAGACAUGAUAUUCACAAUAAAACUUUUUCGAAAUGUU
This 5060-nucleotide long non-coding RNA is filed under the name Monomorium pharaonis (pharaoh ant). RNAcentral's name for it is "uncharacterized LOC118646255". The record is from RNAcentral. Lineage: Eukaryota; Metazoa; Arthropoda; Insecta; Hymenoptera; Formicidae.